RNAcentral lists this ribosomal RNA (460 nucleotides) under uncultured bacterium. RNAcentral describes it as "partial 16S ribosomal RNA". It matches the Rfam family "Bacterial small subunit ribosomal RNA", at positions 338 to 795 of the family's 1533-position model. The record is from RNAcentral.
CCUACGGGUGGCUGCAGUGAGGAAUAUUGGUCAAUGGGCGCUAGCCUGAACCAGCCAAGUAGCGUGAAGGAUGACUGCUCUAUGGGUUGUAAACUUCUUUUAUAUGGGAAUAAAGUGCAGUAUGUAUACUGCUUUGCAUGUACCUUAUGAAUAAGGAUCGGCUAACUCCGUGCCAGCAGCCGCGGUAAUACGGAGGAUCCGAGCGUUAUCCGGAUUUAUUGGGUUUAAAGGGAGCGUAGGCGGGUUGUUAAGUCAGUUGUGAAAGUUUGCGGCUCAACCGUAGAAUUGCAGUUGAUACUGGCAGCCUUGAGGACAGUUGAGGUAGGCGGAAUGCGUGGUGUAGCGGUGAAAUGCUUAGAUAUCACGAAGAACGCCGAUUGCGAAGGCAGCCUGCUAGACUAUGACUGACGCUGAUGCUCGAAAGUGUGGGGAUCAAACAGGAUUAGAUACCCCUGUAGUC